Molecule: unclassified non-coding RNA, 250 nt
Filed under: Glomus sp.
Lineage: Eukaryota; Fungi; Glomeromycota; Glomeromycetes; Glomerales; Glomeraceae
Description: partial contains 5.8S ribosomal RNA and internal transcribed spacer 2
Rfam family: 5.8S ribosomal RNA (bases 1-65)
Source: RNAcentral
GUGAAUCAUCAAAUUUUUGGACGCAAAUUGCACUCUCUUCGGAGAGUAUGCCUGUUUGAGGGUCAGCCUAAAAAAAAUCGACAAAGUUGCUGUUAGGCGGUAACAUUCGUGGGAAAUUGGGUCAUCUUAAACCUUUGGGUUUAAGCGGCUUAAAAUUUUCUUUACGAUUCCAAGACCGUUUCUACGAUUUUAUCUUCUUAUCCGUUUAAGGUAUCGAUUUUUAUUAGACGUGGCCGUUUCAUGGGAUCAC